CGCCCCAAGCUCGUGUCCCUCCCCCGGCUCUCGUUGCUUACCAGGAGACUCAGCUCCGGCUACUGUCCGCAACUUACGACGUGGCCCCAGCCCUGCACAUCCCCGUCUUCAGCUUGGGAGCUGGGGUAGUGGCUAUGCCUUUGCCCUAGGGGGGCUUCUUGGUGGUGGCGGGGGACCUACCUUCGGCUCUCUCCACCUGCUCCACCCGGGGACCAGCCCUGCGGAGGGCUGGGCGAGAGAGGCGAGGGGGCGGCGGGCCGCAGCCCGGGGCUAAGCCCACCGCCUGCCCCCUCCUUCCGAGGGAGGCUUCACUCAGCUCGGCUUGGCUCGAGCGGCGGCGGCGGCCGUUACCGGCUGCGGCGGCGGUGGCCCCACGGUUCCAACCGCCGAGGCUACUCCGGCCCCGUGCUGACAGAAGCGCCCUCGGCUGGUAGGCGGGCAGGGGGCGGGCCGGGAGCUCGUGCGCCCCCUUCUCUUCCCCCUCCCGGCGGGCAGGCGGGCGCGCGCUAAGGGGCGGAGGGGGGCAGCGCCGCAGGGACGGUUUUGAGGCUGGGCGCGCGCCGCCUGGUGGAGGGGGAAGGGAGGAGGCACGCGGGGCGGGGUGAGUUGGGGGGCGGGCGAGAAACAGCGCGUGGUGUUAGCAAGCGGUGAGGGCGACGGGCUGGCGGGCUGGGGCAGGAGUCGGGGUGACCCGGAAUGGGGCGCAAUGUAGCAGCUCCGGCCUGACGCAGGCAGGUUGGGGAAUACCAAUGAGCGCCCCCCCCGCCAAGCCCGGGGACUGCAGAGCCUGAGACUGCACCAGCCAGUCCGUCCGACUGGCACCAGCAAGGACACUUCAUAAAUUCAAGAGGUCAAGAACUCCUCUAUUCCACAGCUGGAGCUGACGGGAACCUAGAGUUUUCUGCAACUAUGCCCUCCUAGUGUAAGAUGACAAGAGGAUAAACUCAAGUCCAUGAACUUUAAGGGAGUUAUUUAUAUAGUAUAGAGCCAAGGUGAAGGUAAAUUGGCUAUCAGUGUCUCAAAAUGUUUCACAUUUUAUGCUUUAAGCUUUGACUUCCUGGGAGAGAAUAAUAGAAGCAAAUAGGUUAUUAUUUCAUAUUUUAGGACUUUGUUAAUGUGUGUUUCUGAGUCUUUUAUGAUUUAUGCGUUACUUUUAUGUGGAGGAAAUAAAUAACUGUCCUAUACUCGA
Monodelphis domestica (gray short-tailed opossum) is the source of this 1189-nucleotide non-coding RNA. The record is from RefSeq and is a predicted model, not a curated record. NCBI's taxonomy places the organism in Eukaryota, Metazoa, Chordata, Mammalia, Didelphimorphia, Didelphidae.